UUGACCUCGGAUCAGGUAGCAAUCCCCCCCGUCCUUUCCAUAUCAAUAAGCGGACGA
RNAcentral lists this ribosomal RNA (57 nucleotides) under uncultured fungus. Its description in RNAcentral is "partial 28S ribosomal RNA". Lineage: Eukaryota; Fungi. The record is from RNAcentral.